This 451-nucleotide ribosomal RNA is filed under the name Streptococcus sp. oral taxon 071. RNAcentral's name for it is "bacterial SSU rRNA". It matches the Rfam family "Bacterial small subunit ribosomal RNA", at positions 28 to 465 of the family's 1533-position model. Lineage: Bacteria; Bacillati; Bacillota; Bacilli; Lactobacillales; Streptococcaceae. The record is from RNAcentral.
GACGAACGCUGGCGGCGUGCCUAAUACAUGCAAGUAGAACGCUGAAGGAGGAGCUUGCUUCUCUGGAUGAGUUGCGAACGGGUGAGUAACGCGUAGGUAACCUGCCUGGUAGCGGGGGAUAACUAUUGGAAACGAUAGCUAAUACCGCAUAAAAUUGAUUAUCGCAUGAUAAUCCAUUGAAAGGUGCAAAUGCAUCACUACCAGAUGGACCUGCGUUGUAUUAGCUAGUUGGUGGGGUAACGGCUCACCAAGGCGACGAUACAUAGCCGACCUGAGAGGGUGAUCGGCCACACUGGGACUGAGACAUGGCCCAGACUCCUACGGGAGGCAGCAGUAGGGAAUCUUCGGCAAUGGACGGAAGUCUGACCGAGCAACGCCGCGUGAGUGAAGAAGGUUUUCGGAUCGUAAAGCUCUGUUGUAAGAGAAGAACGAGUGUGAGAGUGGAAAGUUC